CAUGAAGAUAAUAUAUCUGUUUAAAUACUAAUAACACGAUGUUGCAGGUAGAAGAGUACAAGUUAAGACAGGAUGCCUUAAUUAAAGAAGAGGCCUUUACUCCUGUUUUCUUCCAUUCUCACCCCUCUGUUUCUGCCAGAAUUGUGACAGCAGGGCAGAAAAUGGGCUUUUCGUGCAGAGUUGACAAGAUACAGGGUAGUGAAGACAAGAAUCUUCUUUCACAUGCUAAGAAACUCCUGACUAUACUUCUGAAGUAGUAAUUGGAAUGACAGCUUUUCUGGCUGAAGUACAAUUUUUUUGUUUUAAAAAUACAAAUGGUCCCUCUCAUUUUCUAUUCCCAGUUCUUUCACUCACAUGCUCACACUUACAGUUAUACAGUGUUCACACAUACAUUUUUCAUUGUUUUCUCAUUUGAAAUAAAAUGUUAUGAGAAAUUUUCACCAUAA
Molecule: long non-coding RNA, 446 nt
Filed under: Homo sapiens (human)
Lineage: Eukaryota; Metazoa; Chordata; Mammalia; Primates; Hominidae
Description: non-protein coding lnc-AHR-73:1
Source: RNAcentral